AACUCCGGGAAACCGGGGCUAAUACCGGAUAUGAAAUCUGCGGGCAUCCGCGGAUUUGGAAAGUUUUUCGGUUGAAGAUGAUCUCGCGGCCUAUCAGCUUGUUGGUGAGGUAAUGGCUCACCAAGGCGACGACGGGUAGCCGGCCUGAGAGGGCGACCGGCCACACUGGGACUGAGACACGGCCCAGACUCCUACGGGAGGCAGCAGUGGGGAAUAUUGGGCAAUGGAGGAAACUCUGACCCAGCGACGCCGCGUGCGGGAUGAAGGCCUUCGGGUUGUAAACCGCUUUCAGCAGGGAAGAAGCGAAAGUGACGGUACCUGCAGAAGAAGCACCGGCUAACUAUGUGCCAGCAGCCGCGGUAAUACAUAGGGUGCAAGCGUUGUCCGGAAUUAUUGGGCGUAAAGAGCUCGUAGGUGGUUCGUCACGUCGGAUGUGAAACUCUGGGGCUUAACCCCAGACCUGCAUUCGAUACGGGCGAGCUUGAGUAUGGUAGGGGAGUCUGGAAUUCCUGGUGUAGCGGUGGAAUGCGCAGAUAUCAGGAGGAACACCAAUGGCGAAGGCAGGACUCUGGGCCAUUACUGACACUGAGGAGCGAAAGCGUGGGGAGCGAACAGGAUUAGAUACCCUGGUAGUCCACGCCGUAAACGGUGGGCACUAGUUGUGGGGACCUUCCACGGUCUCUGCGACGCAGCUAACGCAUUAAGUGCCCCCGCCUGGGGAGUACGAUCGCAAGAUUAAAACUCAAAGGAAUUGACGGGGCCCCGCACAAGCAGCGGAGCAUGCGGCUUAAUUCGACGCAACGCGAAAAACCUUACCAAGGCUUGACAUAUACAGGAAU
RNAcentral lists this ribosomal RNA (839 nucleotides) under uncultured Actinomycetes bacterium. RNAcentral's name for it is "bacterial SSU rRNA". It matches the Rfam family "Bacterial small subunit ribosomal RNA", at positions 145 to 997 of the family's 1533-position model. Lineage: Bacteria; Bacillati; Actinomycetota; Actinomycetes. The record is from RNAcentral.